This is a non-coding RNA of Phasianus colchicus (ring-necked pheasant), 1137 nucleotides long. Lineage: Eukaryota; Metazoa; Chordata; Aves; Galliformes; Phasianidae. The record is from RefSeq and is a predicted model, not a curated record.
GCCGCCGCGCGCGGAACGGCUCCCGGAGCGUUGUGAUUCCCCGGUGAUGGAGGUUCACCUUCGUGGUUCUUCGACCGUGAGGCCGGCAGACUGAUUAAACUGUGUGGAGACGUUUCAAAAAGACUUUGGGCAAAAAAGAAGUUCAGUAAAGCUGUUGUGUGCCCUAUGAACAGAGCUUUGAGAAAUGUCACGCAGAGAUAUAAAACUCCACUGAACACUACAGCUACUCUCUCAAAUCAACAGAUGCUUACUGGCUCUAAAAAUAAUGCCCCAUUGUAAUUCCACUUAAAAAUGUUGUAUAAAUACAUAUUUUAAAGAUACUUUUAAGCCAUUUGGUAGGAGCUUCAAUUUUAUUUUAAUAAACCUGUAUAUGUGACAUGGCUACCUCAGAAACUUUCCACUUUAUUCACAGUGGAUGUGCACUAUAUAAUUAUCUACUGGUUUGUAGCAUCAAUUUUGCUUUCUUUUUAGUGAUAAUUACCCUAGUGUCUGAAUUGAAAACUUAGACAAUAUAACUGCCUUUUCUUUCCUUACUGAGGGCAUAACAAAGAUUUAAAAUAGGAUAUCCAGACAGUGCCAAAAGGCCCUUUUUUUUUUUUUAAUAUCUCCUCCAAAAGAGCAUUCAAAAAGCACUCUAAGAGGAAUAAUGCAAAGAAAAAUAAUAUUAAAAAAAUAGUAUAAGAAAGCGGUAUUCAUGCAAAAUUAUAACUGGAAUUGUAUACCAGAAAAAACAACUGAUCUCUAUUUUCAGUUUCAUUUAUUUACACUCAAGUGUAUCGGAGGUCAUGCUAAGAUAAGGUACAACUAUUGCUGAGUGAAAUGUACACUACUUUGCUUAGUAAAUGUGGUAGAAACAUGAGUUUUAAUUUCUGGAUGUUACAAAGAACAGAUUAUUUUGGUGCAUAGUAUCUGUAAGUUAGUGUCUUCAAUAUGAUUAAGCAUAAGGUUUGGUAUUUUCACACACUUCUAGGCAGUUUGGAUACUUUUUAAAGCUUUAAGGUAGCAUUUUUUCUUACUGAGAGACAAAAGAGUAUAAGUUAUACUUUUAAAAAAUAACAAGUAAUGCAAGAUCCCUUACCAGCAAAUAACAGCUGUUAAAUCUGUAAGGAGUAAAAUAGAAUUUUUCGCUCAAAAGCA